RNAcentral lists this transfer RNA (72 nucleotides) under Codonopsis lanceolata. RNAcentral's name for it is "tRNA-Lys". It matches the Rfam family "tRNA". From Rfam's summary of the family: Transfer RNA (tRNA) molecules are approximately 80 nucleotides in length. Their secondary structure includes four short double-helical elements and three loops (D, anti-codon, and T loops). Further hydrogen bonds mediate the characteristic L-shaped molecular structure. tRNAs have two regions of fundamental functional importance: the anti-codon, which is responsible for specific mRNA codon recognition, and the 3' end, to which the tRNAs corresponding amino acid is attached (by aminoacyl-tRNA synthetases). tRNAs cope with the degeneracy of the genetic code in two manners: having more than one tRNA (with a specific anti-codon) for a particular amino acid; and 'wobble' base-pairing, i.e. permitting non-standard base-pairing at the 3rd anti-codon position. Lineage: Eukaryota; Viridiplantae; Streptophyta; Magnoliopsida; Asterales; Campanulaceae. The record is from RNAcentral.
UGGGGCGUAGCCAAGUGCGAAGGGAAGGGCUUUUGGUCCUGGUAGUCGAAGGUUCGAUCCCUUCCGUCCCAG